Molecule: long non-coding RNA, 6812 nt
Organism: Gavialis gangeticus (Gharial)
Lineage: Eukaryota; Metazoa; Chordata; Crocodylia; Gavialidae
Exons: 2
Source: RefSeq, a predicted model, not a curated record
AAAUGUCUGUCUUGAUAUUAUUGAAAAUAUUAUCAAAACGUUUACUGAAAUUUUCCAUUUAGUGGAAACCUCAUAAGGAAAAGCUUCCAAUAAAAAAUUUUAGUAAAAAGUCGAGAGGUGGGAAAAAGCUCAACAUUGUUCAUGGAAAAUGAAAGAUGAUGACAAUACUGAUAAAUUUUCAUUAAAAUGUGGAUUUUUAAACAGGCUAUUUUUCUAAAAAAUAAUAUUUUCAUUCAGUUUCGUGUGUGUGUUAGGAGCACUGCACAGUUCCCCAGCUAUCAUUCUCACUGUGUAGGUGCAUCUACAUGCCCAAGGGCCUAUUUGUUCUCUAAACAAAGUAGAAGUGGACUCCUUGCUAACCACAAGCAAGCCACAAAGAAAUUCUUAGGUUGAUAGAGGAAGGAAGAGUAGGAUUUUCUUCUACAUCAGGGGUCCAGGAGAAUUAGCUCUGUUUGUCCAGUAUGUGGUUAGUUAUAAAAAAGUCAUUGAAGCACUUCAGUCUGCCUUUGGUUUCCUGGAGAAAUUACCUUCACCCCUAAUUUUUGCUUGGUGCCCUUCACAAAGCACAAUUAUGCCAGUUUUGUGUGGUAGCUUGAAUUUUAGCCGAAGGGCUAAAUCUAAGUUUACAGCCAAUGCCAAUUUUUGAGACGAACAAGAAUAAUUCUAAUGAAUUAGCAAGCUCUGCCUGGUUAAAAACUAUUUUCAGUACUACUUCCUGGAAUCAAUUCUAGUGUGCUUGCCAGUGUUGCGUAAAACAAAGUAUUUGCUUCAGGUCCAAAGAAGAUUAGAGGGCAGGGGGGAACAAAGCAAAUAACUAAGAGCCACAAUGCAAAGCCUCCUGAGAAAAGGUUGACAAAGAGUAGAACAUUUUUCAUAAUGAGGAGCCACCUUACCUUUGCCAUGUUUUGUUUCUGGCAGAUGUCGGUUUAGAAACAAUUAAAUACAUGGGGUUUUGUCUGAGAUAUUCUGAUUAGAUUCCUUUCAUACCUCUGUCACUUCACAUGCAUCACUAGAAGUCUAGUAUCUGGUAAUGUAAAGCCUUUUAUAAAACAUAAUCCUGUAAGUACUGUACAUGUGAGUAGCUUUAGUUGUGUAAGCAGCCCUAUGGCAACACCUUAUUGCCUUCUGCAAAAAAAGAUCAGUGAGAAGUAGCUAUAAAGGAAGAGGGGGAGAAGCAAAGCUUGCCCCCAUCUCCACAGCAUGAUGUCCUAUUAUAGGCUUCUCUUUCUUCAUAGACUCUGCCCGCAAAGGUCCUAGCACCCUGGGAUCUGAAGGAGGUUAGAGAACAAGGCCAUUUAAUGGAGGCCCCUUGCUCCUGGCCUCCAGUGUACCAUACCCUGACAGUGUUGCUCCAGCAGAGUUGAGCUACCUGGCAGUCCCCAACCAUGACUGUCCCUUAAAACUGCCAUUGGUAGACUGGAAGAAGUAAUCUCAAACUAAACUGAUUUACUUUCUACAGCUUUGAAAAGUGACAAUGGAUUUCUUGUUUUAAGUACAAGGAUAAUCUUAUGAACUAGCUGAGUCCUUCAAAAUUAUAGAAGCAGUAAUAAUUAUACCUAACUUUCAAUCUGACUUUAUUCUAGAGUUUUAAAUAAACGUUGUUUCUAUAAAAUAGCUAAAAUCCAAUCUGUGGAUGCACUUUUGUUUUCCCUCAUUCAUGAAUUUUCAACUGAAUUUUCAUAGAGCCUUUACACUUUCUAUCUGCUUAUAUUGUGCUUGUGGUCACUAACGGGCUGUUAAAAAUGUCUAUGGAGUGUAAAGAGGAAGUUGCAAUUCAAGUUUCUAAGUGUUGCACGGCCAACAAUAUCCACCCUAGCAUGAAUCCAGUGGUGAAAAGUAAUUCAGCUGCCAAGCCAUCUUUGUUCUGGGGCUUAGUUCUGGAUCAUACUAUGGGCACUUAAAAUAUGAGCAUACAAAUGUUAAAGCUUGAUGAUAACUCAUGCUAAGUGUGCUCUGAACAUCUCAAAGUUAUACCAUUUCCAAGGGUACUAUCUAGUUCAUGUUAGGAUAACUUCAGCCUGCUUCAUGGAGAUAAAAUGAGCAAUCUACAGUCCUCCAGAAUCCCAGAAUCCAUAGCUCCCAUCCACUCCCCACAACCCAGAGCUGGGAUAGAGCCCAGUUGUCACAUGACUCCUAGCUAGACCCUGCUCAGCUACUCCCUAGUGACAAGUCGAAGCUGUGCAGGCAAGAAACAGUAUUAGCCCUUAAUGUGUGGCAGCUCACAGCACGUUUGAACUUUAACACUGCUUAACGUUCUAUAGAUUUCGUAUCGCCUAAGUGUAACAUACAACUUCACAGAAACAACCAGUGGUGCCAAGCCAUAGGGCAUCAUUUUGGCAUCUUUAUGUGUGGAAAAACCUCAUUGUUGUUGUAUCAUUGUAGCUGGCAACUGAAUAUUGCCCUGUGUGCGGUGGUGUUGGGAUGCUUGCUGAAUUGAAACAAAGUAACUCGGUGCAUUCAUGAUCCCAACAUGUAUUUGGUAUAAUACAGGGCUGUCCAACUGGAAGGGUUAGUUUCUGGCCCCUGGGCUCCCACCUGGCCACUGCUCCUGUCAUUGUUUUGUCUUCAAUAUCAGUCAGGGGCUCUUGACUUCCCCUCUGUCUUUUGGCUUCCACUUCCUGUCUCCACUCUAGGGGGUGGAGAAGCAUGGCACACCCUGCAGUGCUGGGGGAGCCCACAGUUCAGGGCAGCUCUGUGGCCAGUGCAGUGAGAGACAGCCCACAGCUAGGGAGCUGAAGGCAAGCCCAGAAGACCCAGUGCAUGCACAGUGCAGCAGGAAGAAGCAUGCAUGGUGUGACAAGGACAUGCACCUGCCCGCAGAGCACAAUGAGAAAGAGAGAGCCCACGCAACCAGAGGGCCUCUGGUACGUGUUGCUGUGCCUCUGCUGUUGGUGGCCCAUGAGAUGGCAGGCCCUGGCCAGUUAUAAGUUGGACAUUUGUAGUAUAGUGUGAGAUUCACUGGCUGGAUCUACUUUGUCACCCACCAUCCCCAGAUCCUAGGUGCCUGAGACUUAAGAGCUUCUGUCAACCCAAAGGAAUUGUAAUGUCUAUUCUUUGGUUGAUAGUGUUACUAAAAUAUUUUUGGAAUUUGCUGUAAGAGAUUUUUGUCAGUCUUUUGUGAAAUGUGAUAGUAAUUCAUUAGAAAAAUGCAACUGACACAUUUACUCUCUGGCUUUUUCCAGAAAGCUCAAGCAUGUGUUGCUGGACUUUUACCUUUUCCUUUGGCAUGCAAUAAACACAUUCCAUAACACUUGGAUAAAUACACUUCAUGAAUGACUAUCCAAAGAUCGCAUGUUACGGUAACCACAGAAAAUGUAUAAAGAGCAGAGACGAUGUUGGCAUUUUCCCUUGUUUGAAACAUCAGUGGCCAGCAAAUUUUAUAUAUCUUUAUUAUUAUUGCAUGCAUGCAGUGAAUUUCUUAGUCUGUGAAAUUCUUUAAUUGCUCAAUCAGGAUUAACAAGGGUUCAUUAACAUCUGAGAGUAAGUUUACCAUACUCUCCUUCCUUUACUUCCCCAUCUUUUUUAAUAUUCAUACCUUAUGGGCUUAAGCACUUGCAGGGCUUAGGUUAUCUGUUUGUCUUCUGGUUAUCUAUUAGAUUUUAGGAAGGAAGAUAAACUUCGUGUGAUGUAUUUAAUUGGAAAUAUUGUUUUAAUAUUGUUUGCUUAAAACUUUUUCCAUGUCUGACAAAACUGAAAGAACUAAGUGAUUUUAUUUUCAUUCCUUUAAAAAAAAAAAGAACUUUAUUUCUUUUUUAUAUUCUACAUCGUCUUGCAGAUAUACUGUAAUACACAUUUCUAGGGUGGUAAAAACCUUGCAGAAAGCCUUGGUUCCCUUGGAGGUUCAAAUACAAAAAGCUUCCUCUGGGAGCAUCCACACUUAUCAUCUUCUUUCUUCGGUGAGCCUCAGAGCCCUCUCUUCUUGCCACCAAUAAUUUCAGGAGGUUCUAGGGCUGUUUGCUAACAGCACAAUAAAACCCCAGUGUGAGAAGAGGCCUGCCAGCUUUCUAACCAAAUGACUUUGCACUGAACUAUGGCAAGCAUGAUUUGAGAUGCAUUAACACUUGAUUUGUCAAAAAUUGUGCUUGGCAUCAAGAAAGCCUGCCUUGCUGUUUCAGAGGUAGCACGUGUGCAUUUACUUGUAUAAUCAAGACUAUUGCUCUUUAGAACCAAAAAUAUGCAUGAUAUGAGAGUAGUAUCUAAGUGCUUUGACAUUUACAUUUUAUAAAUAUUUCCCAUUACUUACCCAAGGUUCAGAUGGAAAGACUCCAUACCUGGAAAAUAAAGGUUUGGUGUAACAGCACUGUUGUUAAACUAAAGUUUACUGUUGUUUGUAUAUGCAUUUUAAUUGCAAAAAGUCUUGAAGGGACUUUCUACUGCCGGAUUGUUUGUUUCAAAUAAAAGAGUUUCUUGUAUUGAAUAGAUAGCAAACUGUAGGUAAGUGGAUACUAGACACAUCUCUAAAGAGAAACAAAGCAUAUAUAUGCAAUAGAAAACUUAUAAACUGGACUAGCCAUUUCUGGUGCCCUGAGCAGAAGAGUAUAACCAUGGAGGAUGAGAAAUGGGAGAGAGAUUUCAGAAGGGAAAUCUAUGAUGUUCUAAGUCUUUUGGAUCAUCAAGUGAUGCCAGCUGAGGUACAUUUCUUAUGUUAUGGCACUGAUUUUGAAUGUCAUUGGUCUGUGUGCAACCAAAGGAAGGAGGAGACACUGAGUUGCUCUGCAAGAUGGAGUGAGUGAGUAGUGAAUAUUUUAUAGAGGGACACUAAAUGUAAUUUGUAAUUUGUUCAGUAGAAAGGAAAUGAGCCUCCAGCCAUGCCACCCCUGUACCCUGCACAAUGCCUCUUUCAAGUGAGAGCAGCAAACGUUCCAAAAGAGCAAAUGCUUAAAUUAGGACUUGCGUGUAGCUAUGCUGCAUGUGUUUGCCAAGUAUUUGGGACUACAGUUUGCCUAUCUGCUUAAAACCAGAAAGAAUCAUAUUUUAAAGCCUGAAAUAAAGUACCUGCAGUAGAUAACCCUUUCAAGAUUUUCUGUAAAAAGGAUGCAGAAUUGAAAAACAAUAAGCUUUACCAUUAACAACAAUUAUUCUAGCAUUUUCUUUUUCAGAGUUUUGGGGCCUGCUUCUGUAGCCCUUCAGCAUGCUGAAGUCUCAGUGAGAACAGCAGAAGAGACUGAUCAGGUAGUAAAACAAAAAGGAGAAACCACACUACAUAAAUGCCCAGUCACAUUUCACUAUCCUGUGUUUCGUUUAUUUGUAGUGUGUUUUCGGUGUUCAGCCUACACCCAGGCACAGGAUUUAGGCACAGGCGGAGGUAAAGGGAGUCUGAGUGAUGUUAUAUUGGCAAUGAAGAUCACAUUUGUUUUAGUAUUUUUAGAAAAGAUGUAAUAAUUUAAAUAAUAAGCCAGUUUUUCAGCAUCUCAGCUCAAAAAAGAGGUGCCACAAAAAUAAGGAAGUUAGCUUGUAGGACUGCCAUGUGGGGAGUGAGCGCUGACUCAGAUUCUUAGGGUUCAAAACUUCCUUAAGUGGAAUAAAAGCCCAAAUUCCAUUUUCCAGAAUGUCUUUGCUUUUCAAUGGGACUUGGACUCCUACACACCCAAGCCACUUUUGAAAAGGGGUUAUAGACACUUAAGUCUCUUUAGGAGAUUUUGAAAAUAUUCCACUUUUUUUUCCUUAGAGUUACUCUCAGAUAUUUAAACCUUCUAAUUAGAAGGCUUACAAGCUAUUCAUAUUUAAAUUCUGUAGGAAGCAAAAAUGGAAGAAAAGUAAUUGGAGAGUAGAGGUUGAUGGAUGGAAACCAAGUCUGAUUUUUAACAUGUAUUUGCUUGUUUGGAAAACUAUUGUUUUCUUUUCAAGCUAGUGCUAGUUGAAAGAGAUGUCACUUAAAAAUUGCACCUGUUGCACUUGAUUGGUACAUGUUGCCUUCUAUCUAUCCUUUGUUUCACUCAAAUAUGUAUAAACAAAGGCCUCUCAGCUUAUUGAAACUCAGUUUUAGCAGAUUGUUAUGUAGUUAUGUUGACUUUCCUUUUAUAAUGUCAAAGAAUACUUAGAGCAAUAACAUUAACGUUUGAGUGUGCAGCUAAUACGUUUCACAGACAUAAGAGAUUUCUAUUUUUUACUCAUGUCUGUUUCAUAUUUGUUUUAAUAAAACUGUAGCUUUUCUUAAAUGUUACCACAGGUACUCGGCAUUAAUACACUGUCUGUCAUUUGAAUUAGGCUUAAAUUUUAACUCUUACUUCCAUAAAAUUUGCAGCAAAAGUCAUAGAAUACUCAGAGUAAAAUAUUUUUCUUUCAAAAAUCAGACCUUUCAAUAUUUCUUAAAUAAAGAUGAAAAAUAGUCAAGAAAAACCAACUAAUUAGAUUCAGGUACUUUUCUUUUUAUCAAAUAAUAAUAUAUAUAUUUCUACCAUGUAUCUGUUUAAUUUUGUCAGAAAAACAAAAUACACACAUGAGCUAAAUUUGUAAAAACAAAUAUGUUGCAAGAAAAUGAAGUAUUUAUUUUUUAAAAGUGUUAAGAAACCAUUGUCUGUAAAUAAUAAAGAAUUAUAUUUUCCUCCUCAAUAUUACUGUUCAUCAUAUCAAGUGUAUUUUUGUAUAUAAAAUAUAUUGUUCAGAUAUUGUAGAUUUCUCUAUUCAAAGACUUCUGUCUAGAUAGUAUGUUUAGCUAUCAUGCUUUACUGAUACACUUAAUAUUCUAGCUCCCAACAUGCUAUUUAAAAGAAAAACUAUUUUUGAGUCUGCAAAAAACCAAACUGUAUGUUUUACUGAUGUAAAGUUGCUGAAGGUAUGUUAAUAAAUAUUGGUUUCUUUUGUGUCUGAAA